This 299-nucleotide signal recognition particle RNA is filed under the name Aotus nancymaae (Ma's night monkey). RNAcentral's name for it is "Metazoan signal recognition particle RNA (ENSANAG00000010662.1)". It matches the Rfam family "Metazoan signal recognition particle RNA". From Rfam's summary of the family: The signal recognition particle (SRP) is a universally conserved ribonucleoprotein. It is involved in the co-translational targeting of proteins to membranes. The eukaryotic SRP consists of a 300-nucleotide 7S RNA and six proteins: SRPs 72, 68, 54, 19, 14, and 9. The record is from RNAcentral. Lineage: Eukaryota; Metazoa; Chordata; Mammalia; Primates; Aotidae.
GGUGGGUGUGGUGGCAUGUGCCUGUAGUCCCAGCUACUCAGGAGGCUGAGGUGGGAGGAUUGCUUGAGCCCAGGAGUUCUGGGCUGUAGUGUGCUAUGCUGAUUGGGUGUCUGCACUAAGUUCGGCAUCAAUGUGGUGACCUCCCAGGAGCGGAGGACAACCAGGUUGCCUAAGGAGGGGUGAACAGGCCCCAAUUGGAAACGGAGCAGGUCAAAACUCCUGUGCUGAUCAGUAGUGGGGUCACGCCUGUGAAUAGCCACUACACUCCAGGCUGGGCAACAUAGCAAGACCCCGUCUCU